Molecule: ribosomal RNA, 465 nt
Filed under: uncultured bacterium
Lineage: Bacteria
Description: partial 16S ribosomal RNA
Rfam family: Bacterial small subunit ribosomal RNA
Source: RNAcentral
CUACGGGCUGCUCCAGUGGGGAAUAUUGGACAAUGGGGGAAACCCUGAUCCAGCAAUGCCGCGUGUGUGAAGAAGGCCUGCGGGUUGUAAAGCACUUUCGGUUGGGAGGACUGCUUCUAGCACUAAUAUUGUUGGAAGUUGACGUUACCUUCAGAAGAAGCACCGGCUAGCUCCGUGCCAGCAGCCGCGGUAAUACGGGGGGUGCAAGCGUUAAUCGGAAUGACUGGGCGUAAAGCGCGCGUAGGCGGCUAGAUCAGUCGGGUGUGAAAGCCCCGGGCUUAACCUGGGAACUGCAUCCGAUACUGUCUAGCUUGAGUACAGGAGAGGAGAGUGGAAUUCCACAUGUAGCGGUGAAAUGCGUAGAUAUGUGGAGGAACACCAAUGGCGAAGGCAGCUCUCUGGCCUGAUACUGACGCUGAGGUGCGAAAGCGUGGGGAGCAAACAGGAUUAGAUACCCUCGUAGUC